Molecule: long non-coding RNA, 2536 nt
Organism: Bombus impatiens (common eastern bumble bee)
Lineage: Eukaryota; Metazoa; Arthropoda; Insecta; Hymenoptera; Apidae
Exons: 2
Source: RefSeq, a predicted model, not a curated record
AUAUACAAAGAGAAUAAUAUUUCUGGAGUAAUUCAGUAAUUAAAAACCAAAUGCAGUUCAUGGUUGAACGAACAAUGCUCACACACUAUAAAAUAUUGAAUAUCGGCCUUCAUCGUUGUUUCUCAUUACAACGGCUAUAAUGUGUGCCACUUUCUUGCUACAUGUUUCUACGAUACGCGAUCAUUCAUACUUCGAUUCGCCUAUACUUAUUCACAACCGUUUCACGCUAUAAUAAUUCUUAAUUCGAUCUGAAGCAAAUAUCACGCAAUUAUUCAAUGAGCCUAUUUUCGAACAACGAGAGUAUUUUCUAAUGCUAGAAAGUAGGUUGAAAAGUAUAAAAUCCACUGGCAAUUUCUAUUAGAAGAAAAAAGAAAAGAUAUGGAACAAGGUAAAAUGUAAUUGAAAUUUUCGCUUCGAUUAUAGCUGAUUCCUGUUAUUAUCGCGGAUCUUUAUCUUAGCAGAGCGUUUGUUACUCACUGAAAAUUACGAUCGUGAAUUAUUCUAUUUCUCUAACUGAAUAGCUGUGUGAAAAAGAAAGAGAAAAAAUUAAACACCAAGUAAUUCUUACUUUUGUAGUUUCUUUCGGCGUAACAGGGACGAUAAUUUGCAUAGACGCAAAGAAUAUGCAAGAAAUUUCAACGCAAAUCUUUUACCCACGCUAGAUUAUUACGGAUAAUGACACCACGUUCUUAACUUAUUUCGCACUUGAGAGAAGUAAAAACCUUCGUACGAAUGCUUUUCAACUUCUCAGGUACGUUACAUUCUAAGAAAUACGUAAUACAAUUUCGAUUUCCAUUAUAAUUAUAACUAAAAACGAGCCGAAUAAACGCAGACAGUGUAACUGUAUCCUGUCUGUAGGUAAUCUUGUUCAAUGAUAAUAACGUUCCCUGAUACAAGAUUAAAUUAAACUUGCCAAAUCAGAUUCAGACAUGUCGAAAUCGUAAAAAGCAUUGCGAAAACCUUCCUUGUUCUCUCAAAGAUAUUAAUUUGUACGUCAGCAAUUACGAUAUCGUAAGCGAUCGACAUCCAACAUACACUACAUCACAUUCAUUUAAGUUUAGAUUAAUUGUACCGUAUCGUACUGCAAUUGCACUGUGUACGAUAUAUGUUCAGAAUGUAUAGAUGCUAUUAUUUCAAUUCGCAAUUUUUCUUACUGUAUUUUACACUUACUUUUUGAAAAUAUUCUUGGUAUAUAUUUCGCCAAUCGCGAUCUCUAAUGACCACAAGAAUGGUCGACGCAAUCUUAAAUGAAAUAAAUAAAAAAUAUAUAUAUAUUGCAGGACGAUUGGAACGCGAGGGAACACGUGUGGACGUAAAGAAAGAUGUUUCGCCAGUAUUGCACCUCAGUUUGCUAAUAAAAAAAAGAGGAAGAAUAAUCAGCAAUGCUGUCUCACGGUGUAAAAGGUGCAAAGAUGUAAAAGGAAGGCGGGUUAUUGUUCUGAUACAAAGUGGCUUUUCGAGAGAGAUAAAUACCAGGGAAAAUAGUCAAGAAUGAAGAAAGUUCAACGAUGCAAAGGAAUAUAAAGAGGUGUAAUAUAUUCGACGUCUAACAAAAAGAGAUUUCUUACGUUAAAUAUUAUUAAAUAAUAGAAAUUCAAUCGACCGAAUAACAUAAACCGAAUGAUGCUAAUUAAACCGUAAUUGAAUUUUUGAGACUUAAUGAACGAUGAAUAUAGUAAGAAAAAGUAUAAGAUUUAAAAGAAACAUAGUACAAGAUAAGUACAUGGUAUUUUACAAAUUUAAAGGAAACAUAGUAAAAUAUAGUACUUUACAAAUAUUUUUUUCUCUAGAGUAUCUCAUAUCUCCCGAUAGAAGCUUGUAUAAUACACGACGACCUUGGAAAAUAGAAAUCUGAAAAAUCAUGACCACACGGAUUAGAAAAUAAAGAUUAGAAGAGAGAUACUGUUACAUAACUGGCAAGUACCUGUUUUUAUAAUAUUUAACAUAUUUCUGAAAUACUUUGUUGCAAAACAAAACAGAGCGCACGCACCCCCUUUCAUCUAAUCUGGCAUGGAUCUUUAGAAAGUUUCUAAACCGCCGAAUAAUCUCUUAGGCUCGUUUGGUCCAGCAUCUCAUUAAUAUUUUCAGCGAACACUCGGAGAACAAGACUGGAGUCGAGUCAAACAAGCAGCUCGUCCACACUGUUGACGUAGAUUUCACUUUUGAGAAUCUCGUCCGGUGUUUGACCAUCUGACACGUGUCAUUUAUGGCGUGUACGUGCACCAUAAAUUAAGCGGUUGUAGCUAAGGAAAUGUUUUCCCACGAUGUUAUGACGGAUAAAGAAUAGUAGCGGUGUAAUUUUUGGUUGUUACGGUAAUUAAAGAUCGUGUUCGAUGUCUUAAUUACGCGAUAAGAAACUACUUGCGAAAAUGAAUGUUACAGUAACGAAAUGUACUACUCUCCUCUUGAUAAUUUGUCGUGCAAAAAGAGCUGGAUCGUACAGGUAUUCUUUGAUUUUAAACGAUUACAAAAUAUUAUAAGUAUACUAUAAAAAGUGUUAUGAAAUGUUAGAAUUAUUACGUAGGAAUUUAUUUUA